Non-coding RNA from Chiloscyllium plagiosum (whitespotted bambooshark), 278 nucleotides. The record is from RefSeq and is a predicted model, not a curated record. NCBI's taxonomy places the organism in Eukaryota, Metazoa, Chordata, Chondrichthyes, Orectolobiformes, Hemiscylliidae.
AACAACCGAACUUGCUAGCGGGAACCUCCCUUCCGGCAGUUCCGAUUGGUGGACGGCUAUGAAGCUUGCGCCGUGAUUCGUUGUUCGCUGCUGUCCGGUUAGGUUGCACGGGGAGUCGAAGGAAAAUGAUCGGAGACUUUCUGCUGUUCGGUACCUUGCUAAUGAAUGCAGGAGCUGUGCUGAACUUCAAACUGUGAUAACAUCAAAGAUUUCCUGCUGAGUCUGCGCUACUUUCGGAUCUUCAUUGCCUUGUGGAAUAUCUUCAUGAUGUUCUGUAU